AUGCUUGUCAUCCGGACUACUAUUUUCAGCCCGUUCCCUACGUACUCGAUCAUUGCAAUGGUCUCCUCUUGCUCCAUCACUGCGUGGUCAACCCUACGACGCAGCAGUGGUCGCCUCUGCCCCCGGCCCCGGACCUGCCCAAACCCGCACCUCCAAUCACAUUUUUGGAAAUCCUGGUACCUCAUGUUUGACCCCAUGCUGUCACCCAACCAUUUCGAUGUGUUCAUAAUGCCCGAAAUUGCUUUCAAGGUCGAAUGUGAGCAAUUUGAAUGGCCACCGUCCACGUUGAUCCUUCCUGUGUUUUCAUCAAAGAUUGGUUCAUGGGAGAAGAGGACAUUUUGUCGGUAAGGGGAAGCUGCAGGGACGAUACCUGGCUUGGUUGGGGUCAGACUGGAUUGCAAUGAACGUCAGUCUGUCUACUGGAGAGGAUCACUCUAUAUUUGUUGCGACAACUGUUUUAUUUUGAGAAUAUCACUGUCAGACAACAGUUAUCGAGUAAUAAGACUGCCAACAAGAUUGUCCCUAGACGAUUCACAAGGUGAUCAACAGUUUUACCUAGGAAAAUCAACCAAGGGGAUAUAUUGUGCAUCAAGAAUCACGUCACAUAGGUCCCACCUUCAGGUUUGGUUCCUUAACCACCUGAACGGGUGGGUUUUGAAGCAUGACAAAGAUAUUUUCCCCGUCCUGCCAAAUAUCGACUAUGGCAACCCAUGUGAUGGACCUUGGAUCCUACAACAAUUUGACUAUGAUGAACAUUCUGAUGAAGAUGAUUCUGUUGUGGAGGACAACAGGGAAGCAGUGGAAAAGGAAAUUUUUGAAGCAAUAGUGGAACAAGGGAAAUUUGAGUGGGACUCAGACAAUGAUAAUGUACUUGAACCUGGAAGUAGCUGCAGGGGAACUGAUACAUGUUUCCUUGGAUUCCAUCCUUUCAAAGAGGUUGUGUUCGUGACUCUGUGGGACAGAGUGCUAGCCUAUCAUUUGUCGAGCUCAAAGCUUCAAGAUUUAGGCAAGCUUUUUCCAGAAUUCUAUGUGGAUGGGCACACUUACUGGCAUAUACAGGUGGAAGAGUCUUUCCUGUACACUCCCUGCUGGUUAGGGGAGCUUCCUGAAAAACUAAACUAG
Molecule: ribosomal RNA, 1122 nt
Filed under: Triticum aestivum (bread wheat)
Lineage: Eukaryota; Viridiplantae; Streptophyta; Magnoliopsida; Poales; Poaceae
Description: partial small subunit ribosomal RNA
Source: RNAcentral